AUUGAACGCUGGCGGCAUGCCUUACACAUGCAAGUCGAACGGCAGCACGGGUGCUUGCACCUGGUGGCGAGUGGCGAACGGGUGAGUAAUACAUCGGAACGUACCUUAUCGUGGGGGAUAACGCAGCGAAAGCUGUGCUAAUACCGCAUACGCCCUGAGGGGGAAAGCGGGGGAUCGAAAGACCUCGCGCGAUUAGAGCGGCCGAUGCCUGAUUAGCUUGUUGGUGGGGUAAAAGCCCACCAAGGCGACGAUCAGUAGCUGGUCUGAGAGGACGAUCAGCCACACUGGGACUGAGACACGGCCCAGACUCCUACGGGAGGCAGCAGUGGGGAAUUUUGGACAAUGGGGGCAACCCUGAUCCAGGAAUGCCGCGUGAGUGAAGAAGGCCUUCGGGUUGUAAAGCUCCUUUGUCAGGGAAGAAACACCGGCUCUAACACAGUCCGGGAAUGACGGUACCUGAAGAAUAAGCACCGGCUAACUACGUGCCAGCCGCCGCAGUAA
This 501-nucleotide ribosomal RNA is filed under the name uncultured bacterium. RNAcentral's name for it is "partial 16S ribosomal RNA". It matches the Rfam family "Bacterial small subunit ribosomal RNA", at positions 29 to 523 of the family's 1533-position model. The record is from RNAcentral.